This 439-nucleotide ribosomal RNA is filed under the name uncultured bacterium. RNAcentral's name for it is "partial 16S ribosomal RNA". It matches the Rfam family "Bacterial small subunit ribosomal RNA", at positions 338 to 795 of the family's 1533-position model. The record is from RNAcentral.
CCUACGGGUGGCAGCAGUAGGGAAUAUUGCUCAAUGGGGGAAACCCUGAAGCAGCAACGCCGCGUGGAGGAUGAAGGUUUUCGGAUUGUAAACUCCUUUUGUUAGAGAAGAUAAUGACGGUAUCUAACGAAUAAGCACCGGCUAACUCCGUGCCGACAGCCGCGGUAAUACGCGGGGUGCAAGCGUUACCCGGAAUCACUGGGGGUAAGAGCGCGUAGGCGGGAUAGCAAGUCAGAUGUGAAAUCCUAUGGCUUAACCCUAGAACUGCAUUUGAAACUGUUAUUCUGGAGUAUAGGAGAGGUAGGCGGAAUUCGUGGUGUAGGGGUAAAAUGCGUAGAGAUCAAGAGGAAUACUGAUUGCGAAGGCGACCUGCUAGAACGUAACUGACGCUGAUGCGCGAAAGCGUGGGGAGCAAACAGGAUUAGAUACCCGAGUAGUC